GAUGAACGCUAGCGAUAGGCUUAACACAUGCAAGUCGAGGGGCAGCAUGGUCUUAGCUUGCUAAGACUGAUGGCGACCGGCGCACGGGUGCGUAACGCGUAUGCAACUUGCCUCACAGAGGGGGAUAACCCGUCGAAAGACGGACUAAUACCGCGUACACUCUAUUUUGGGCAUCCAAGGUAGAGGAAAUGAACUUCGCUGUGAGAUAGGCAUGCGUCCCAUUAGCUAGUUGGUGAGGUAACGGCUCACCAAGGCGACGAUGGGUAGGGGAACUGAGAGGUUGAACCCCCACACUGGUACUGAGACACGGACCAGACUCCUACGGGAGGCAGCAGUGAGGAAUAUUGGGCAAUGGGCGAGGGCCUGAACCAGCCAAGUCGCGUGAAGGAUGACUGUCUUAUGGAUUGUAAACUUCUUUUGUAGGGGAAUAAAGAGGGGCACGUGUGCCCCAGUGAAUGUACCCGACGAAUAAGCAGCGGCUAACUCCGUG
Molecule: ribosomal RNA, 490 nt
Filed under: uncultured bacterium
Lineage: Bacteria
Description: partial 16S ribosomal RNA
Rfam family: Bacterial small subunit ribosomal RNA
Source: RNAcentral